This 71-nucleotide transfer RNA is filed under the name Omobranchus fasciolatoceps. RNAcentral describes it as "tRNA-Ser". It matches the Rfam family "tRNA". From Rfam's summary of the family: Transfer RNA (tRNA) molecules are approximately 80 nucleotides in length. Their secondary structure includes four short double-helical elements and three loops (D, anti-codon, and T loops). Further hydrogen bonds mediate the characteristic L-shaped molecular structure. tRNAs have two regions of fundamental functional importance: the anti-codon, which is responsible for specific mRNA codon recognition, and the 3' end, to which the tRNAs corresponding amino acid is attached (by aminoacyl-tRNA synthetases). tRNAs cope with the degeneracy of the genetic code in two manners: having more than one tRNA (with a specific anti-codon) for a particular amino acid; and 'wobble' base-pairing, i.e. permitting non-standard base-pairing at the 3rd anti-codon position. Lineage: Eukaryota; Metazoa; Chordata; Actinopteri; Blenniiformes; Blenniidae. The record is from RNAcentral.
AAGAAAGUGGCAGAGCGGUUAUGCGGUUGGCUUGAAACCAUUUUACGGAGGUUCAAUUCCUUCCUUUCUCG